RNAcentral lists this ribosomal RNA (492 nucleotides) under uncultured bacterium. Its description in RNAcentral is "partial 16S ribosomal RNA". It matches the Rfam family "Bacterial small subunit ribosomal RNA", at positions 29 to 507 of the family's 1533-position model. The record is from RNAcentral.
AGUGAACGCUGGCGGUAGGCCUAACACAUGCAAGUCGAACGGCAGCACAGUAAGAGCUUGCUCUUACGGGUGGCGAGUGGCGGACGGGUGAGGAAUACAUCGGAAUCUACUUUUUCGUGGGGGAUAACGUAGGGAAACUUACGCUAAUACCGCAUACGACCUACGGGUGAAAGCAGGGGAUAUUCGGACCUUGCGCGAUUGAAUGAGCCGAUGUCGGAUUAGCUAGUUGGCGGGGUAAAGGCCCACCAAGGCGACGAUCCGUAGCUGGUCUGAGAGGAUGAUCAGCCACACUGGAACUGAGACACGGUCCAGACUCCUACGGGAGGCAGCAGUGGGGAAUAUUGGACACUGGGCGCAAGCCUGAUCCAGCCAUACCGCGUGGGUGAAGAAGGCCUUCGGGUUGUAAAGCCCUUUUGUUGGGAAAGAAAAGCAGCAGGUUAAUACCCCGCUGUUCUGACGGUACCCAAAGAAUAAGCACCGGCUAACUUCGUG